GGUUCUACUCUGUUGUUCCCGCAAGUGGGGUUCAUUAUUUUCUUGUUCUAAGCUUUCAGUGAAAAGGGUAUUCUUAUAAGGUUUUCUAGCUUUCUGGGAUUUUUUUUACUUGGAUAAUGAAGUUGCUUUUGCAAAGGGGAAAGAAAAGCAAAAUCCUGUUCAGUUCAGGAGGGACAAUCUAGAGGCUUUGUGUUUUCUGGGUUUCUGGGAUGUAUCUUUCAAAGGGUUGCAGGUGUGAAGUUGUUCUCUUUUUGUGGUUUUCCUGCUAUUUUCUAUUGGCUGCUAGUCAGGUCACUGACCCCACAGAAGUUGAGGCAUUGAGAACCAUAAAGAGAAGU
Molecule: non-coding RNA, 338 nt
Organism: Vigna umbellata (rice bean)
Lineage: Eukaryota; Viridiplantae; Streptophyta; Magnoliopsida; Fabales; Fabaceae
Source: RefSeq, a predicted model, not a curated record